RNAcentral lists this long non-coding RNA (203 nucleotides) under Rosa chinensis. RNAcentral's name for it is "sRNA RchiOBHm_Chr1g0321101". The record is from RNAcentral. Lineage: Eukaryota; Viridiplantae; Streptophyta; Magnoliopsida; Rosales; Rosaceae.
AGUAAAAUAAUUCGGCUAGCCAAUUUAGUCUCCAUGUUGUUGCGCUUCAGUGUACUAUUUAUACUAUACAAUCCAGCGUAUUUUUUACCAUAUGGCAACAAAAAAUGUAGAUGGCUUUCAUAUGCAUAAUUUGUUCUAAUUUCUAUGGCAUUGAAAACAUAAGUGCAACUUCAUAGUGGCAAGACAAAUAACUAUGUUUCUGG